Long non-coding RNA from Scylla paramamosain (green mud crab), 1494 nucleotides. RefSeq lists it as uncharacterized. The record is from RefSeq and is a predicted model, not a curated record. NCBI's taxonomy places the organism in Eukaryota, Metazoa, Arthropoda, Malacostraca, Decapoda, Portunidae. The transcript has 2 exons.
UGCCAUCACACAUUAGUAUUUUAAUUUAUUUAUGCAGAUUUGGAACUGUUGUGGAUCAAGUUUAUUUUAUAGAGUUAACUAAUUUCUGUAUGUGUGUAUCUAGUUGUUGUGAUAUAAAGGAAAACACUUCCCCCUAGGAGGGGGAAGUGUGGAAUUGAAAGGAGUCCUCAAAGUUCAAGUCCACUACUAUGAAAGAUGGCAAUGUCCAGUUAGUCACUUCUAAGGAUGUUAAAGGGAAUCUAACUGUUGCUGGUGAAGAGGAAACUGCCCAGGAAUUGGUACACUUCAUUGAGGCUGCUGAGAAUGAGUAUCAGACAGCCAUCAGUGAAAACUACCAAACUAUGUCCAACACUACCUUCAAGGCCUUGCGUCGCCAACUUCCUGUUACACGGACCAAGAUUGAUUGGAAUAAGAUAGUUUCAUAUUCCGUGGGUAAGGAGCUUAAAAAGCAAUAAUAGUAACUGGUGGUCCUAUGGAACAUUUAAAAUAAUUCAUCUGUCUCUAUGGGAUGCUGUAGGGAUAGUUUUAACAGUACAUUUGGCGGUCAUUAUUCCUACUGAUUAGUAUUGGUUGUUGAAUACUUCAGAGUCAAAUUAUUGUUUUGUCCCUUAAUAUUAUUGAUAUUUGGAGUUUAUCAGUAUCUAUGUUUUCCAUUUUAUCUGCUUUGUUAUAGCUGAUUAAACCCAUCAUGAUUUUUAAAAUAAAACAGUUUGACUUGUUUGGGUAAAGAAGAAAACAUAUUGCUUUUGGACUUAUGUGGAGUGAACCAUGCCAGUUGAGCACUGUUACUGAAGCUAAAACUACAUCUUGUUGAACUGUUGUGUAGGCUAUCAGAAACACACAGCAAGGGUACCCUUUCUAUUGGGAGUGAAACACUGAGCUUCAUGAAAUGUUUAGAAAACAAAGCCAAAUGAGUAGGGCAGAUCUUCCUUUGGGGGAUUAAUCCAAUUUUUACAAAUUUAUAUCCUUCAAAAGUUUGUGUGGUCAGUGUUCCACCUUUGAUCAAGUCUUCCCGUGCUUUGUUUUUGAUUGUUUACACAAGCAUCAAGUGCAGCAGGCAACAGGCUCAUUUUAUAGACUUUACAUGAAAGAGUAGUAGAGUCUAUUAGGAAUGUGAGUUUCUGCUGCCAACAUCAUAUUUCUGAAAAGAAGCUGCAUUUUGCAAGAUGGUCCAUGCCGUCACUACUACCCAGACGCCUGUGAUACCUCGCUGAGGGGAGGUCUUAGGGACGAUGUCUGUUCCUAGAGAUGGCCUGCUUGCUAACUGCUUGAUGGUGUUGAUUAUAUAGUACAUAUUUAUCUAAACAUUUACACUUAAUGUUUAAGAAGUGAUUUUGCAAGAAGUUCCUGUUUUGCCAAGUGCAUUACAGGCCAAAAAUAUAUUAUCAGGUAGCCCAAUGUGAGGGCAUUUCAAUUGUCCUUUGCACAUUAUGGAUGAAGCAAGGUGAGCUCUGCACAAACAAACCUAGAAAGAAAAUAUAUUGUUGCAAUUUA